AUUGAACGCUGGCGGCAGGCCUAACACAUGCAAGUCGAACGGUAACAGGAAGAAGCUUGCUUCUUUGCUGACGAGUGGCGGACGGGUGAGUAAUGUCUGGGAAACUGCCUGAUGGAGGGGGAUAACUACUGGAAACGGUAGCUAAUACCGCAUAACGUCGCAAGACCAAAGAGGGGGACCUUCGGGCCUCUUGCCAUCGGAUGUGCCCAGAUGGGAUUAGCUAGUAGGUGGGGUAACGGCUCACCUAGGCGACGAUCCCUAGCUGGUCUGAGAGGAUGACCAGCCACACUGGAACUGAGACACGGUCCAGACUCCUACGGGAGGCAGCAGUGGGGAAUAUUGCACAAUGGGCGCAAGCCUGAUGCAGCCAUGCCGCGUGUAUGAAGAAGGCCUUCGGGUUGUAAAGUACUUUCAGCGGGGAGGAAGGGAGUAAAGUUAAUACCUUUGCUCAUUGACGUUACCCGCAGAAGAAGCACCUGCUAACUCCGUG
This 490-nucleotide ribosomal RNA is filed under the name uncultured bacterium. Its description in RNAcentral is "partial 16S ribosomal RNA". It matches the Rfam family "Bacterial small subunit ribosomal RNA", at positions 30 to 507 of the family's 1533-position model. The record is from RNAcentral.